Diceros bicornis minor is the source of this 440-nucleotide long non-coding RNA. RefSeq lists it as uncharacterized. Lineage: Eukaryota; Metazoa; Chordata; Mammalia; Perissodactyla; Rhinocerotidae. The record is from RefSeq and is a predicted model, not a curated record. The transcript is spliced from 3 exons.
GGAAUCUGGACCUCCACUCCUCCCCACCAGCUACACAGGAGGGUAGAAAGUCACCUCAGUCCUCCUGGUGGUUCACUGUGAUAUCACUGACUGUAUGUCCCUCCUCCUCUCCCCCAGUGUGAGGAUGAGUUCACUGUGAAUUUAAAUGAGGCCUGCAGGAUGCGUGCCCUCCAGGCAGCGUGAUGGAGAAGCUGACAGAGUCCAUGGCACCAGCUUUCCUGAGUAGGAACAUGUCCAGCUUCACCACCUUCAUGAUCAACUACUCGGCCUUAGACACAUCCCACCGGGUCCUGGACCAGCUGUUUACUAGGUCCUGUCUUCCAUGGAACAUCCCAAGUGAUGCCCUGAUAGCCUCCUUUAUAGCUGGAGGCAUCUUCCCUUAUUCCAGCCAGGAGGGCAGAGCACAGGCCCAUCUAAAAAAAUGAAUGGCUUCUCUGGUG